UAGACUUCCGCAAGGACCUCUGUAGAGGUGCUGCAUGGCUGUCGUCAGCUCGUGUCGUGAGAUGUUGGGUUAAGUCCCGCAACGAGCGCAACUCUUGUCUUCUGUUGCCAUCGGGUCAAGCCGGGCACUCUGAAGAGACUGCCGGUGACAAACCGGAGGAAGGUGGGGAUGACGUCAAGUCAGCAUGGCCUUUAUGUCUGGGGCCACACACGUGCUACAAUGGCCGGUACAAACCGUCGCGAGCCCGCAAGGGGGAGCUAAUCGGAGAAAGCCGGUCUCAGUUCGGAUUGUAGGCUGCAACUCGCCUGCAUGAAGUUGGAAUCGCUAGUAAUCGCGGAUCAGCACGCCGCGGUGAAUACGUUCCCGGGCCUUGUACACACCGCCCGUCACAUCACGAAAGCUGGCUGUACUAGAAGUAGCUGCGCCAACCCGCAAGGGAGGCAGGUUCCUAAGGUAUGGUCAGUGAUUGGGGUGAAGUCGUAACAA
RNAcentral lists this ribosomal RNA (486 nucleotides) under uncultured soil bacterium. RNAcentral describes it as "bacterial SSU rRNA". It matches the Rfam family "Bacterial small subunit ribosomal RNA", at positions 1010 to 1494 of the family's 1533-position model. The record is from RNAcentral.